RNAcentral lists this non-coding RNA (110 nucleotides) under Homo sapiens (human). Lineage: Eukaryota; Metazoa; Chordata; Mammalia; Primates; Hominidae. The record is from RNAcentral.
GGUUAUGUGGAGGCAGUGAGUUAUCUCAACUGAUUGCUCAGUCAAUUACAGAUUCAACUCCUCCUUCUAUUCUUUCCCUACUUCUCAAUACUGUACUUUACUAGUCCUUA